RNAcentral lists this microRNA precursor (78 nucleotides) under Schistosoma curassoni. Its description in RNAcentral is "mir-3492 microRNA precursor family". It matches the Rfam family "mir-3492 microRNA precursor family". Lineage: Eukaryota; Metazoa; Platyhelminthes; Trematoda; Strigeidida; Schistosomatidae. The record is from Rfam by way of RNAcentral.
AGCUUUUCGAAUCCGUGUUGAGAUUUCGUCAGACACCAACCCAUUAGGGCUGAUCACAAUUGCAAGAUAAGAAAAGUU